This 254-nucleotide ribosomal RNA is filed under the name uncultured bacterium. RNAcentral's name for it is "partial 16S ribosomal RNA". It matches the Rfam family "Bacterial small subunit ribosomal RNA", at positions 524 to 776 of the family's 1533-position model. The record is from RNAcentral.
CACGUAGGGUGCGAGCGUUGUCCGGAAUUAUUGGGCGUAAAGAGCUCGUAGGCGGUGUGUCGCGUCGGCCGUGAAAACCUGCAGCUUAACUGUGGGCUUGCGGUCGAUACGGGCAUCACUGGAGUUCGGCAGGGGAGACUGGAAUUCCUGGUGUAGCGGUGAAAUGCGCAGAUAUCAGGAGGAACACCGGUGGCGAAGGCGGGUCUCUGGGCCUGUACUGACGCUGAGGAACGAAAGCGUGGGGAGCGAACAGG